UGGGGCAUCGCCCAAAUGGUAAGGCAUCGGUUUUUGGUACCGACAUUCCCAGGUUCGAAUCCUGGCGCCCCAGCCA
This 76-nucleotide transfer RNA is filed under the name Mesorhizobium sp. STM 4661. RNAcentral describes it as "tRNA-Gln". It matches the Rfam family "tRNA". From Rfam's summary of the family: Transfer RNA (tRNA) molecules are approximately 80 nucleotides in length. Their secondary structure includes four short double-helical elements and three loops (D, anti-codon, and T loops). Further hydrogen bonds mediate the characteristic L-shaped molecular structure. tRNAs have two regions of fundamental functional importance: the anti-codon, which is responsible for specific mRNA codon recognition, and the 3' end, to which the tRNAs corresponding amino acid is attached (by aminoacyl-tRNA synthetases). tRNAs cope with the degeneracy of the genetic code in two manners: having more than one tRNA (with a specific anti-codon) for a particular amino acid; and 'wobble' base-pairing, i.e. permitting non-standard base-pairing at the 3rd anti-codon position. Lineage: Bacteria; Pseudomonadati; Pseudomonadota; Alphaproteobacteria; Hyphomicrobiales; Phyllobacteriaceae. The record is from RNAcentral.